UAAGAGGUCGCAAAAACAAAAAGUAGGAUACUGGAGCUCGCAACGAAGAAGGUAUGAGAAAGGUGUUUUUGCCGAAAUAGUUUUUGGGGCGAAACAAAAAUUAUUGGGCUGGUUUUUAAGAAGAAUCGGACUGUCAUUUGCAAAAAUGGUGUGCUUAC
Molecule: non-coding RNA, 158 nt
Filed under: zebrafish metagenome
Description: Lysine riboswitch
Rfam family: Lysine riboswitch aptamer
About the family: Riboswitches are metabolite binding domains within certain messenger RNAs that serve as precision sensors for their corresponding targets. Allosteric rearrangement of mRNA structure is mediated by ligand binding, and this results in modulation of gene expression. This family includes riboswitches that sense lysine in a number of genes involved in lysine metabolism, including lysC.
Source: RNAcentral